GGAAUAAAAGUCGUAACAAGGUCUCCGUUGGUGAACCAGCGGAGGGAUCAUUACAGAGUUGCAAAACUCCCAAACCAUUGUGAACGUUACCUAUCCCGUUGCUUCGGCGGGCGGCCCGGGCCCCGCGCCCGGCGCCCCCCGGCCCCCCGUGGGCGCCCGCCGGAGGUAAACCAAACCCUUGAAUUGCAUGGCCUCUCUGAGUCUUCUGUACUGAAUAAGUCAAAACUUUCAACAACGGAUCUCUUGGUUCUG
RNAcentral lists this unclassified non-coding RNA (252 nucleotides) under plant metagenome. RNAcentral's name for it is "partial contains small subunit ribosomal RNA, internal transcribed spacer 1, and 5.8S ribosomal RNA". The stretch from base 1 to 53 matches the Rfam family "Eukaryotic small subunit ribosomal RNA", at positions 1779 to 1831 of the family's 1831-position model. The record is from RNAcentral.